GCAGGAGGUCAGGCUAGAUGAUCACAGUGGUCCCUUCUGGCUUUGGAAUGUGUAAAUCACCCCAUUUUUCAGAUGGGGAGCUGAGGCACAAGUCUGUGAAUUGAACCCAGAGCUGGGAAUUGAAUGCAGUCCCCCAUGCCUAAACCCCAGGACCACUUCUCCAGGAGGGGCUGUACAUAGAUACAUGGCACUCCCUCCUUAACUUCAACCACUACGUCGCCCUUCAUUUUUAAGGGCCUAACUCAGUCAAAACAUUGAUUCCAGGCUAACGCUUGUACAAAUGAUUGUAGGCAGAAAGCAAUUUUAUUUUACUCAACAAACCUAGCAAAGUGCAAAAAGGAGGGGAAAAAAAGGACAAAACCAAAUAGAAAUUAGUUUUCCUGCAGAUUCUCUGUAGCUGUUACAAAAUGAGUUUAUAUUUCUAAAAAGAAAAUUUUGCAGACCGCUGAGCCACAAUGCAGAGGAUAAGCGAGUUUGCUACUAAAUAAUCAUUCUAAACAAGAGUUAUUUAGGUUUUAAGAAAGCCAAAGCAGAUUACUGCACAGGGCUCUGAAAGGACUGUGAUAAUCUUUGUGCAUCAUUAAAGCAUAAACUGAAAAUAAUCCUUCAAUACUUAGGCCUGGAAACAAUAACCUAUAAUGGAGCCAUGAACAUUUAUUAUAGUAACCACCUGCAAAUGAGCACUAGCAUUGACCGGAGAGUCUAUAAUGCAAUUGUCUGGAUAACCUGAAUACCAUGAAGUGUCUAACUGGGCCUUGACUUCAGGCUCCAUAACAGCCUGAUCAUGAAACAUAAGAAACAUAAGAAUGACCAUACUGGGUCAGACCAAUGAUCCACCUAGCCCUGUGUCCUGUCUUCCAACAGUGGCCAAUGCCAGAUGCAUCAGAGGAAAUGAAACAGGACAAUUAUCGAGAGAUCUAUCUCUGUCGUUGAGUCCCAGCAUCUGGCAGGCAGAGGCUUUGCCUCUGUCCUUCGGAAAGGAUGUGUUUUAAUAACUCCUAAUUUUCGGUUAUUGGACAUUCUGAUCAAAGUCAUGCUGGAAUGGCCUAAUAAUGGGAUGACUUGGGAGUUUGUAAUAACUCCCAAUAUUUGACUUAUUUAAAGUCAAAGUUAUUUAGGCAUCUAACUGCCGUUGAUUUCAACGAGGUGCCUAAAUAUCUCUGAGAUCAUGGGCUAGUUCUUUCUCUACCUGAAGUCAGUGGGACUAACUAGCCAUGUAUCUAUGCAUGUGGGUACUUCUAUCAGGUCUAUCCCUAGGGUAUCUGAGCUCCUAAGGGCAAAUUUUCCACUCAUGCAAACUAGUGUUAAACUCCUGAACCUGUCAAGUGCAGAGCCCCCUCAAGUCCCAUUGACAGCCCUAAAUGAAUCAGACCAAGAAUAAACACCAGAUUGCCUGUUUUAGAUAUUCAUAGAUUAUGUUUAGCACCAUUGUAGCGAGGUGCGGAUGCAGAAAGGAAUCUUAGAAAUGUAUGCUUGUUUCAGCAUUAAGCAAAUGUCUUUAUUUCCUUUUCAUCUUUAUUCCAGCGUCAGUGUUAAAAAUUCUUGUCUUGAGAUAUUCAGACAGCUUAGGUGGUAUCACUUAGCAACACUUACCAGUAGGUUUAUUGUUGCCCAUUUUACCGUGGCCUUAUUUGCCUUCCCUUGCAGCAUUGUAAGAAGAAGGAAGUGCUGCGGCUAAACUAAACAGCACAGGCCCACAACGUGCUGAGCGCUUCCUGCAAAAUACUCGGCACCCUGAAACCCCGCUGGAGUCAAUGGGAGUUGAGGCCCCCUAGUGGCUUGGAAGAUCAGCCCUUUUGAGCGCCGUUCAGGUGAAACAACUAUUCCAAGUGAUUUAGUUGGGAAUUAGGUCCCACUUUGAGCAGGGGGUUGGACUAGAUGACCUCUGGAGGUCCCUUCCAACCCUGAUAUUCUAUGAUUCUAAGUGGAUUUCGUGCUAGUUACAGGUGCUCUUCAGUGCAGACAGCAAAGAUGGAAGCUCCUUCCAUCCACCUCCAUCAAUGUGCUUUGACCCUGGUGUGGAGGGACCAUUUCCCAGGCUGAGGCAGGGAGUUGGGGGAUUGUUUGAACAACAAGAAACUACACAAGGACACUUUUUUAUGUUUUAAGGGAUAAACAGGCGAGACACAGGGAGUAACUCAUUCUAACUAGUAAGUUCCCUUAGAAACAGCACAAAAUAUGACAGGCUGAUGUGAUAGUGCAAACUGUAUGCAGCAGUUCCUGGCAAGAGACAGGUGAUUAGCAUUGGCUCAAGGCAGUCUGUCACUGUGCAAGCUUCCCCUCCUUUCCACACACACAGAGUGUGUCUGCUCUGUGUUGUACAGUUGCACUUCGGAGUUAGAAACACCUUGGGAAAGAAGGUUGUUCAGAACUCUGAAAGGUUCGUAACUUUGAACAGAAUGUUACGGUUGUUCUUUCAAAAGUUUGCAACUAAACAUUGACUUAAUACAGCUUUGAAACUUUACUAUACAGAAUCAAAAUGCUGCUUUCCAAUUUUUUUUUUUUGUUUGUAGUUUACAUUUAUUUAAUUUUUUUUUAAUUUUGUCUCUGCCACUACCCAAUUGUGUGCUUCUCAGUUCCAAAUGAGGUGUGUGGUGGACUGGUCAGUUCCUAACUCUAGUGUUCACAACUCUGAGCUUCUACUGUAUCUAAUAUUAAUUGAAUAGACACAUGGGGCAAGUAGAUAUAAUGCAUGCUAGUGAACAAUAGAGGGCAUUCAGGAGAAUUAAGGAGAACUUUGCUAGAGCUCUUUAUUUACACUUUGUGAGUGUGCUACAACAAAUGACGAGAUCUAACCCUACUGAGUGCUUCCUAAGUUCUUGUCAAAAAUGCAGUAUUCUCCCAGUGCCCUUCAGUCCAGGCCUGGAGUAUCCAUUACUGUUGUAAUCAUCCAAUUUUUCCAAUGCACCUCAGUCCUGAUCUACCACUGACUAGUCUAACAAUAUCUCUCUUGAGCAAACAGUGACUAUGGUCUAAUUCUUGGCCAGCACCUACAUACUGUGGAAAUUGGAGCCAUAUACGCAUCUGAGAGAGACUGAGAAAACAGACGCUAACCCAUGGCAUCAACUGGACGUGUGGCAUCAGAUCAGCAAUUUAUCUAUGUGCCAGAAUGCAUCUAGAAAUGACUAUUGAUUUUGCUUGUUAAAAUAGACUCUGUAAUGUUACAAUAAAAUACAUCAUGACAGGG
Long non-coding RNA from Chelonia mydas (Green sea turtle), 3187 nucleotides. RefSeq lists it as uncharacterized. The record is from RefSeq and is a predicted model, not a curated record. The transcript is spliced from 2 exons. Lineage: Eukaryota; Metazoa; Chordata; Testudines; Cheloniidae.